Molecule: ribosomal RNA, 497 nt
Filed under: uncultured bacterium
Lineage: Bacteria
Description: partial 16S ribosomal RNA
Rfam family: Bacterial small subunit ribosomal RNA
Source: RNAcentral
GAUGAACGCUGGCGGCGUGCCUAAUACAUGCAAGUCGAGCGAACAGAUAAGGAGCUUGCUCCUUUGACGUUAGCGGCGGACGGGUGAGUAACACGUGGGUAACCUACCUAUAAGACUGGGAUAACUUCGGGAAACCGGAGCUAAUACCGGAUAACAUUUGGAACCGCAUGGUUCUAAAGUGAAAGAUGGUUUUGCUAUCACUUAUAGAUGGACCCGCGCCGUAUUAGCUAGUUGGUAAGGUAACGGCUUACCAAGGCAACGAUACGUAGCCGACCUGAGAGGGUGAUCGGCCACACUGGAACUGAGACACGGUCCAGACUCCUACGGGAGGCAGCAGUAGGGAAUCUUCCGCAAUGGGCGAAAGCCUGACGGAGCAACGCCGCGUGAGUGAUGAAGGGUUUCGGCUCGUAAAACUCUGUUACUAGGGAAGAACAAACGUGUAAGUAACUGUGCACGUCUUGACGGUACCUAAUCAGAAAGCCACGGCUAACUACGUG